CGAUCGAGAGCAUCAAGAUUGUCUGCGAUCGUGAGACUCGCCAGAGCCGCGGCUACGGCUUCGUGAAGUUCGUCUCCGCCGCCAGCGCCAGCCACGCCAUCCAGGAGCUCAACGGCCACGCGAUUAUGAACAAGCGCCUGAAGGUCGCGCUCGCCGUCGCCGGUC
RNAcentral lists this non-coding RNA (165 nucleotides) under Climacostomum virens. Lineage: Eukaryota; Ciliophora; Heterotrichea; Heterotrichida; Climacostomidae. The record is from RNAcentral.